AUGAAUACACGCGGAGUGAUAGAGAGGAAAUAACGAGGAUGAUAAAGGUUGCUGCUUGGUGUUUGCAAGAUGACCCAGAAAGAAGACCUCUCAUGUCAACAGUUUUAAAAGUGUUGGAAGGUGUUAUGGAGGUAGAUCCAAACAUCAAUUAUCGGUUUUCGCAUUCAAUGAUAGCUUCUCCACUGGUAACAACCAUAUUUCUUCACCACCUCCUCCAGCAUCUGUUCUUUCCAAUCCUAGAUGAUGUAGUUGUAAGACUCCCUCUUCUGGCAGAAAUAAAAUCUAUCAUGCUUCUUGUCGCUUCUGCUACUUUUCCAUCAUGCUAUCCUAAGCUAACCACAGCUUUUUUAGCACUUGUCUAGCAAGGUAUUGACAUGUCUCAAGUAGUUUGCCGGUGUACUGGAGUAUAGUCUUCAGAAUUUUCAACAUUUGAUUAUUCAAAGUCGUUGGCUCUUGACCAGGCACGAUGAGAGUUUUUAGAUGUGUGGAUGGAAUGUAUCCUGCAGAAAAUUUGAGAUGGGUUUCCUAUCAAUUUUUAGGGAAAAAAAGGGCCUUUUUUAGGCCGAAACAUGUCUUUCAUUGGGCUUAGCUCCAUCUCGCUUCUACUAGCAUUCUUGCAUGAUUCAAUUAUUACAAAUUUUUAACUGAAUAUUCAGAACUAUCUCAGACUUGCCUACAACAAAUCUCUGAGUCCGUUUGUUUGCGUGGUUUCUUCUGCGUUUGAAGCAACCACAGCAAACAAUACGUUAGGCAAUGUUAAAAACACAAUAAAAUUUUAGUGGGAUCCAUGAAAAUUCGCGUUUUACACGCGAAUUUUGAGAAGCAGCUCCUGGCUGCUUCUCAAAAUUAAUUUACGUUCACUUGCACUGUGCACGCCAACGGUGCAAUUUAUUUGCACUGUUCACGUGAACAGUUUAGUUUAGUUUUUUUUUUUUGUAUAUAUAUUUUUAAAAAAAUUAGUUUAGAGUGAAUUAAAUUCACUUGCAAUGUAAUAUCAAAUCAAUUUUUUCCUGAUAAUAUUUUAUCUAAUUUUAUAUAAAAUAGUAUUUAUUUUAUGAAGUAAUAGCAAUAGUUAAAUCCAUAACAUUUAAAUUAAAAACCAUCAGUAUUAAUAUAUAUUUUUAAAAUUAUUUUAUAAUCUCAAUUUCAAAAGCACUCUUAACCAAACAUAUUAAACUACUUUUUAUUCAACCUCAAUUUCAACCACAGUUUUAACCAAAGACCUAUUUUUUCAAACCAACCUCAACUAAAAGUACUUUUUAUAAAACAACUUUUUUUAAACCACAACCACAACAGCUACCGCAAUACCAAACACACUCUCUAUCAUUAACACCACAAUCUCUCUCUGAAAUGAUUUUGUUAAUCUUUAAUGCAGAAUUUUUUAGUUUUCAUGAUUUUUCUACCGAGAUUGAAAAAUUCAAGGUUUCUAUGUAUUGUAAUACUAGUCUUUUUUAGCAUGAAAAUUUAUGCUAUGCAUAGUUACUUAUUCCCCCUCUAAUUUUUUAACACAAAAAAUGAAAAGAAACUUUUUGUUAAAACUUAUAGUCCGUUAUGAAAUAAUAUAUCUUUCAUAUGGUUGUUUAAAAGCUUAUAAUUAAGAGGGCUAAAGACAAGAGAUGUGUUAAGCUCAAAUACACGUCUCUUUGGCAAGAUGUCAGAUUUAAUAUCCUUGAGUUCAGCUAUGUAUUAAGCUUGAGUAUAUGUAGGUCUGGCCAAAUGCUAAAUCCAACAUUCUUGGGUUCAGCUAUAUGCUAAGCUCAAAGUCAUAUGAGUUUGACAAUGUAUUAAACCCAAACAUCCUUCUAAAAGCAUAUGGGUUCAACAAUGUAACAAACCCAAACAUUUUUGGGUUUAACUACCAUUAAGUCCAAAUGUGUGAGUUUGACAAUGUGUCAAGCUCAAAUAUUCUUGGGUUUAGCUACGAGCUGAAUUCAAGUCUAUAUGAAUCUAGCAAGGUGUCAUAUUCAACUAUCUUGGGUAUAGCUAUACGUUGAACUCAAAUACAUGUAGGUCACGCAUGACGCCAAACCCAACUGCCUUGAAUUGAAUAAUGUGUUGAGCUCAAAUAUAUGUGGGUCUCACAAGAUGUCAAGCCCAAUUACCUUGGGUUCAGCUACGCGCUGAGCUUAAGUGCAUAUGAGUCUGACAAGGUGUUAGACCCAUUAGCUUUGGAUUUGGAAUCAUUUCAAACCCAAUACAUAUUGAGUUGAUAAUCUUUUUAGGUUCCAUGUUGGGUCACAUGAAUUUAUUUGUUGAUUCUCAUGUUUUUUAAUAUAAAAUAUUAAAAAUCAAGAAUGAUCAUCUCCUUACAUCCCUGGGUACAUAAAAGUCUCCAUAGAGCCUACCAUCUUUCAAUCAACAUUAAUUUUAUGUAAGAAAUAUCUAUUAUUAAUUAAUAUUGUGUAAGAGAUAUUUAUUUCUCACUAAUGAAAUAAAAAAAAAAAUUAAUGCUCAAACCUCUCUAUCCAAGCAACAUGACAAAGUUUAAAGGCUAUAUAUACCAUCUGAACUACUAAGGUAAAUAAUUCACACAUUUUCUAUUCUCUAUUCAUACUCUUAUUUUACAUAGCAUUUAUCAUACAUAACUAAGAACAAAUACUAUUAUUCUUAAGAAUGUAAAGUUCAUCAUCUUAUUUAUUAUAAUAUCUUAUUAAAAGUCACUUAUUUUAUCAUUGGAGGAUCCUUAAAUUCCACCAAAAACAAAUAUGUUAUAGGUGUUGAAUCUUUUAUCACCAAUCAUUAACUUCAUGAAUUCCGAAGAAGGAAAUGUUAACAUGAAUGUUUGAUCACUCUUUAUCUAAUCACUAAACAAAUCCUCAUUCUUAAGCAUAUUGGAUUUUAAAAAUAUUAUCGACAUGUUUCCAAGAAAGUGUCGAAUACCCAUCACAAACUAUGAAAAAUUCAUUCCUUACUUUUCCAUGUUAAAAAGGGUUUUUUUUAAUUUUUAGGGGGUGCUUGAGAGUAUGGUAGCAGUUGUUUUUUAAAGUACUUUUCGCUUGAAAAUAUAUUAAAAUAAUAUUUUUUUUAUUUUUUUAAAAAAAUAUUUUUGACAUAAGCACAUCAAAAUGAGUUAAACACACAAAAAAAUUAAUUUAAGACAAAAAAAUUUAAAUAUUUUUAAAAUACAAAAAUAAAUGAGAUUAUAAGCUUUUUAAAACAUUAUAAUUCAAAACGUUGAAAAUAUCAUACGUUACUUGUUGAAUGCAGAGUCAGUCCUCUCCCAGGUUCCACAAUUACCUUUCUAUUUGCACUUUAUUCUUUUCUCGAAGUGGACCAAAAAAAAGAAACCGAAAGGAUAUAUAAAUUAAGUAAUGCACAAACACACUCAUGUAAAAAUUAACUAAAAAAGGCUGGUAUGUAGACUAUAGGACUAGAAAAUUAGGAGGCAAUUAUCUCCUUGUUCAAUAAUAUAUUUGGAUUUCAUGCGGUUUUGUUUUUAAAAUUAUUUUUUUCUUGAAAUAAUAUCAAAUUAAUAUUUUUUAUAUAGUUUUAAAUGAUUUUAAUAUACUGAUAAAAAAUUAAUUUUAAUAUAUUUUUAAAUUAAAAACUCUUUUAUUAAAACAAAAUACAUCUUAUUACCAAAUACACUCAAACACUAUAGAUGGUAACUCUAAGUAUUACAUCUGCAUUUGUUAUACUAUUCUAAAUUUGUCUAGAUAGAAUUACAGAGAGGAGGUCUCUUGAGUUACAAAUGGGUUCUGCCUUGAUUAUAAAAGGUCUUCUCAACAGUUCUAAUUUUAAGUUUCUAUUUUUUUUUUAAAUGUAAUUUUAACUUUUAAAAAGAAAAAGAAAUCUUGAAACGACAAUGAUUGAGUUGGCGGAGUUUAACCUAAGUUAAUUUAUCUAACUUGUAACUCAAGUAUUAGAUUGAGUUAUAAAUUAGGUGAUUAGCUGAGUCUGAGUUUGAUAUUUUUGUAUUGGUAUAUUAUGAAUGUUUGUUGACGACUUGCUAGGUAUGGGCAAUAUUUGGAAUUUGGGACUAUCUUAGUUUCCAAUUUAGUUUCUGUCAUGAUUUAUUUCAGUCUCAAUAUUAUUCAUGCCUUGCAUUUUCUAUGUUAUUGAGUGAAAUCUGUAUAUUUGCUUGCUUGUUGCAGACCUGUCCUUAAACUUGUUUAAAUUCUUUUUAUUAACAUCAAUUUUUCUUUCAAUUUGGUGUGAGUUUACCAUUCAUGGAGGUAGAGAAUGACACUGGGUACCUUUUUUUUCAAAAAAAUAUUUGGAUGCUUUGCCCACCAUAGAGGUGGCUUGUUAAUUUGAAUUUAAUUGUAAUAACUAAUAAGUAUAAGUUUAGGGUGUGUUUUUGGUGCUUUGAUAAUCUUAGAGACUAUUUUAUAUUCUCAUGUAAAGUCUAUCUUGUGCAGGUUGGACCAAGCAUAAAAAGGACGAUUUUACUAUUUUUUAAGUUUAUUUGAUAUUUGUGCUUGGGAGAUUCUACAGCUCGAGGCCCAUUUGCAAUUUUUAAUGGCGCCGCCAGGUACAAAGUAAUAUAUAACAAAAUUAUUGCAUGAGCAUAAACCUAAUAGCUUUGACAUUUAAUAGCCAACUAAGCAUUGAAGAAUUCUCCCGAUAAUAGCUUAAAGAAAUAUUUUUAAUAACGUGGUAUUGAAUUUAGUUAAUAACAUUGGAAGCAUAUAUAUAUAUAUAUAUAUAUAUUAUCAUAACAUUGAAAGGAGUUAAUUAGAAGAUGAAAUAUAUAGAAUUCCACUAAAAAAAUAAAAAUAAAAAUAGAAUCUUGCUAGAUCUGACUAUGUUAUUUAGCUUUUUAUAAACCCUUUGGUUUUGUAUUUCUAAAGCAUUUUUUUAUAUAUAAAUUUUUUUUUUACUUUUUUUUUAUUUUUAGAUUAUUUUAAUAGAUUGAUGUUAAAAUUAAAUUUUAAAAAUAAAAAAAAUAAUAUUUUAAUAUAUUUCUAAACAUAAAAUAUUUUAAAAAUCAAUCGUUUUAUAACACUACUUCUAAAUGAUUUUGUUGCUUGUAAUUUAAAUACUGAAGCAGAUCCAUUUCAACCAGGCACAUGUGAGGAGCCAAUCCGAUAUCAAACUAAGCAAUCACGAUUUUUGAUAAUAUACAAGUAGGGUUCAAGUCGUAGCAUCAAGAUUUUCUGCUAGCAAUAACAGAAACAUCCUGUUUGUUUUCUUCUUUUUUUGGAUGAAAUCCUGUUUGUUUUCUUUCUGUUCCUACAACAAAGUAAACAUAUUCAAUGGUUAUUUGUAUACAAACAAUCCGACAGCCAAGCAACCUCAGUUUUUUUUUUUUAAUUGAUAAUUAAUUAGUUCUGUGUCCUGACCCUGAAAUAAAUAUACUAUUAUUAGAAAUUUGUAAUCGUGUAUCUAUUUGCUAGAAACUAUAACAUACCCCUUAGAUGCAUACGUGAAGAUCUCUAACAUAUACCAUCUUCAUAAAGGUCGAAUUCAAGAGACUCGACAGUCAUUAUCGGCGACAAUUCUCAGCCAUCGACAGGCCGGGAGAUAACACGAAGCCCUUUGCCAGAUAUAAUGCGUAAUGCUACUCCUAGAAGACGUUCGGCACCAUUUGUGGCUGGACUCGUAGGUGGCGGUCUUCUCAUCAUUUCGAAAUUGUGGCGCAAGUCUAAAACUACCAAGGAGGAUGUGGAAGUUCUAGCAAAAACGCCUAUUAGGUUUCCGUAUGAAGAUCUACGUGUUGCGACUGAUGAUUUCGCGGAAAGAAUUGGAAGAGGAGGCUACGGAUCUGUGUUCAAAGGAGUACUUGCUGAUGGAACUAGAGUUGCUGUGAAGUGUUUGGAUAAACUAGACAAAGGAAAGAAGGCAGUUUUAACAGAAGUAGAGACAAUUGGAAACCUGCAACACUCUAACUUACUGAGGUUGAUAGGAUUUUGUUCAGAGAAAUCAUACAAGGUUUUAGUAUAUGAGUACAUGAGUAAUGGAUCGUUAGAUACUUGGAUUUUUCAGAAUGAUCAAAGACCUUUCCUUGAUUGGCAGACGCGAAAGAAGAUUAUACUUGACAUUGCAAAAGGGCUUGCUUAUCUCCAUGAAGAAUGUCAACAGACCAUAAUUCAUUUCGAUAUAAAGCCGCAGAACAUUCUGCUGGGUCCAAAUUUCAAUGCCAAAAUCUCUGAUUUUGGUUAUCUAAGGUCAUCGAUGAAGGAACGGGACAAGUACAAGUUUCAAUGAGAGGAACCCCUGGAUAUAUUGCUCCAGAAUUGUGUAAGCUACCACCAGGACGUAUCACGUACGGAAAAAAUUGACAUUUACAGCUUUGGAAUUGUUCUCCUGGAAAUAGUUUGUGCACGAAAAAACGUAGAUCACUCGCUGCCAGAAUCUGACUUCCAUUUAGUUAGAAAGCUGCAGAAUAAAGCUGAAGAAGAUAGACUAAUAGACAUUGUGGAAAAUGUAGAUGCAUGCAUGCACUGUGAUAAGGAGGAAAUACUUAGAAUGAUAAAGGUUGGUGCUUGGUGCUUGCAGGAUGACCCAGAAAGAAGGCCUCUCAUGUCAACGAUUGUGAAGAUAUUGGAUGGUGUAAUGGAGGUAGAUACGAACUUGGUGUAUGUGUUCUCACAUUCACUCAUAGCUUCUCCCAUUGCUAAUCACCACAUUUCUUCGGCACAGCUGCCAGCAUCUGUUCUUUCUAAUCCCAGAUAAUGGCAUUGUAAAUCUCUUUCUUUUCUUUUUUUCUUAAAGAAAAUUCAUCAAGCUUGUUUCAUAAUUUGUACUACUUGUCCAUUACAAAAUUCAUCUUAAUUGAGCUAAGGAAAACUAUCAUUUUAGUAUUGGUAUUUUUUUUUUCUAGUAAACUUCAUUAAGACAUAUUCAAGUGAUGUUUGGUGACUGAGAAAAAAGAAUUAAUAAUAGGAACAAGAGUAAAAGUUUCAUUUCGAGUUAUUUAGGUUGAAUUGAUUUUUUAGCUUGCGCUUGUUCAAUAUUUUUUAGCCUCUUUUUUUUUAUAUAAAUAAUAACUGAAACAUUUUUAAAAUAUUUAAAUAAUGACAUAUUGAAUAACACAUAUUUUUCUUUUAAUAUUAAAAAUGUGACAUAUUGAAUCGAUUUGAGCCAAUAAUAAUUAACUUAUAAAAUUUAUGAUUUGAGGUGUGAGAUCAUAAUUAAACUAUGGAAUCUACAUAGUAGAAAAACUAAAAAUUUCAAUUAUAAUAAAACAAAUAUCAAAGGCUGAAAGUGAAAAAAAAAUUUAAUAAAAAAACAAAAAAAAGGUGACCAAAGUAAACUUAUAUUGGUCUUCGGCUCAAUGUCUCAGGGUCUGGCAAAGUUUUUUGGAUGUAAGAUGAACAAAGUUAAGGUGAUGUUAGGAUUUCUAAAAAGUAAAAGAAAUUUAAGACUUAGGUCAUAGAGUUGGGUUACAUCAUUUUUUAAUAACAUAAAAAAGACAAUUUAAUUUAAUAAUAUUAAAAACCAAGUAAAUCUGGACAAAUCUCCUAUACCCAGCUUAAUAUUUCAAAAUCAUAACCCGUGAAAUUUCAAACUUGUGCUCAAUUAAAAAGCUCGAUUUCCAACUAAAAAAGAUACACUCAUACAAAUAAUGUCAACUUGUGAAAUAUGGAAUCACAAUUAUUUUCAACUAAUCAAACGUUUGAAGAAUAAAAUUCAAAGAAAAAAUUAAUCAUACAAAAUGAUGAAAAAAAAUAGCAAUUAUAAGUUAAAAAAAGACUUGCACCCACUCGGGUCAAUCCAUCAAAUCCACAGGUUAGGUAACUCAAUACAAACCAAAAUGAAGAAAAUCAUGAAAUUUAAUUUUUUUAAAAACAUCGUUAGCUUAUAAAAUUUGUUACCUAAGCCAUUUGACUAAAAACACUAAAUAUGAAAAAAUUAUGAAGCUCAAUUCUCAAUAAAUAAAUAUUUAAAUAUUAAAUUGAAAAACAAUCAACUAUGCAAAAGGAUCCAAAAGAAGAAAGCGUAAUUAAAAGCAAAAACGAAGAAGAAAAGAAGACGUGAGCCCAUCUAAAUUAACCUGCCAAACCCAUAGGUCAGGUCAUGAGAACAAUAUAACAUAAUAGAAAGGAAAAUGAAAAAACUAUAAGGUUUAUUUUGUAAAAAAAAAAAAUCAAUGUCAAGUAAUGAGAUAAAGAAAAUAAGUUAAAAAAAAGAUAUUAAUAUGUGUUAGAUUAUAAAACUCGUGUCCCAUGUUAGCUCAUAAAUCAAAUGUCAAAUGAUAAAAUUAAUAUAUAUAUAUAUAUAUAUAUAUAUAAAAUGUUCAAAAGAAAAAAAAUUAAAAUUAAAAGAAUGAUGAUCAAAUUAAAAAAAAAACAAAUGAUGAAAUAAAAAGAAAAAUUGACUUCAUAAAAUAGUUAAAAAAAGAAACCAUAAAAAAACUGAUGACUAAAUUUAAAAAAAUUAAUUUUUUUAUAAAAUGAUAAAAUUAAAAGCAAUCGAAGGUUUAUAAAAUAGGUAAGUAAAAAUUUAAGAAAUAUAAAGAAUCAAGACCAAAAUUUAAGAAACAAAAAAAAUAAUAAAUUUACAUUGAAGAAUGAAAUUGAAAACUUGUCAAUAAAUCAAGUAUAUAAGUUAUAAAUCUAAAGAAUAGGGAUCGAUAAUAAUAAAAAAGAAUACAACUAAAGGAUUACCUUGAAUUUUUAAAUGAUUAGUGUGAAUUUUAAGGGUAGAGAUAGAAAAGGAAAAAACAAUUACCCAUGACCAUCCGCAAGAAACAACGAAUAUGCAACAUUGCUUAAGAAAGAGGACAUUGUGAGGAAAUCCAAUGACAUUACAAAUUGAAGUUUUUAACUAUUAGAGUAAUUUACUUGUGUCAUUUAAAGACGAAGGAGAAGCUGACACUUGGAACAAACACGUCAACAACUUUUCUCGUUUUCAUUUUAUUUUAUUUAUCAAAUUACAACAUUGUCCAGAACAAAUAAUUACUAUGAAAAAACCUUAUGAAAUUACACAAAAGCCCAUGAAGCCAUUCCUUGAGAAUUUUGAUUCUAAAAACAAUUAGGUCAUUUCACUAUAAUUAUAAAAGUAAAAAACCAAAAAUACCCAUUGACCAUGGGCAAGUGUUUUUAUUUUUUUUUUGCUUUUAAGGGUAUGCAAGUAAUUUAACAGUGUAAAAAAAUAAAAAAAGACCGAGCUGCCUCUUACACAUAAAAAAUGACUAAUGAAUUCUGUAAAAAAAAUCAUUUUACCCUACACGACCAACUUAAUUAAUUUUUUUUUAUCAAAGGUAAAAAUAUCAAUUCAUGAUUAUAAUCCACAAUGAAUCAAGGCAUGUAUAUAGUAGUUUUCUCACAUGUUUUAAGCUUUUAUAAUUAAAAGAGAUUAAAAUAAGAAUAAAGACGAGUAUAAAAAUAAAAAUUAAAUGUUGUUUUAUUUCUAAAAGGGAAAUGCAAAUUGUUUUCAAAAAAAUGUCAUAUUAUUACUAAUUUAAUAAUAAUUCAUUUUUUACUAAUUUUCAUUUUAGUCUUAUAAUGUUUAGAAAAGUUGUUUUGAUCUUUUUACUUAAUUUUUUAUAAGAAAAGUUCUCAAUUAGAAACUAUUUGGUCCUUAUAUCAUGUCCAAACUUUACUCCUUAUUUUAAUUUUCCUUUUCAAUUAGACUCUGACACUCUAUUUGUUUUUGUAAACACAUUAAAACAAUAGUUCUGUAUUUUUAUUCCUCUCAUCUUCAUUUUUUUUUCAAAUGUAUAUAAAAGGAGAGAAAAUAAAUAAAUAAAAAAUUAGGUUUCAACAUUAUAUAUGAAGGCAAGCAUUUCUUCAAUUUGGAGAGAAACGGGAUGAAAAGUUUGAUUCGAAUUAUUAGGAUUUAAGUUUUGACCUUGAUUUUAUUUUAAAAUCUUACCUAAAGAAAUAGUAAAGGAUAUCAAUGUAGUUUUCUUCUAAUAUAUAUAGUUAUCAUCUUAUAUACAGGAAAAUAAUUUUUUCAUAAAUACAAAUUUUGUUUUUCAAGACAAGUUUAUCAGGUAAAGGAACUCUUUCAAAGGCUCUCAAAUAUUUUUUAUCUGCGCUUCAAGUUAAACAAAGUCUAAACAUUUCAUAAAAGCUCUUCAAUAAAACAUAAAAUUAUCAAAUCUUUCUUUGCAAUAUAUAUUUCAAUUCAUUUUUUAAUAAAACAUAAAUCUUAACUUGAUUUUAUAAUUAAACCGAGCAAAAAAAAAUAAAUUAAAGAGAAGAAUUGAUGAUCGUUUCAUUCUUUCAUAGGAACAUUUUAAAUAAAAAUUGUACUUAUCAUAUACUUUAAUAAAAUCAAGUAUGUAUUAACGUAUAUGUAUAUUUGUUUAAUUUCUGGUACUCCAAUAAAAUUCAACUGGAGACGCAUUAAUUACAGAUCAUGCAAUCAUGCGUACCAAUUUUCCAUAAGCAGAGGAACAGAACUAUAAGAUGUGUAGAGGCUUGUAUUAGUAUUUGCAGCCACCGCUUUGUAACAGUACAGACGCAGUCCAUUUUUCUACGAUUGUUAUGUGUUAUGUAUUUGUACACCCAAUCCAAAGACCAAAUCAAGCAAUCCAAUUCUUUCAAGGAAGGUUCAUGUCCCAGCACAAUCCAGGUCACUAUUUCAAUAUUCCAAAACAACAAAGCAAACGUAUUUAAUUGUUGUGUGUAUACAAACAAUCCGACAACAAUUCAUCCUCAAUUUUAUUUUAUUUUUAAUUUAUUCCUACCUAUAAAAUAAAUAUAAUAAUAUUUGAAAAACUUAAUCAUGCAUCAAUAAGCUAGUAACUAGAACAUUAAGUAGUUAUGUUCCUCUGAAUAUUAGAAAUCUUUGUCCACGAUUCUAAUAAAAAAAAAAACUUCAAUUCUGAAUUCAAGGAAGACAACAAUUUUUCCAGAAAUGUCCAAGUUAAAAGCCUAACCGUUCUAAUAUAAAAAUAUAAUAAAUAAAUAAAUUGUUUUUUAUUUAAUAUUAGAAAUAUAUCUUAUGUAUAAGUUUGUAAUCCCGGUUCUUAAAAGAAAUAAAAUUAAAAAAAAAAUUGGUAUUUUUAAAAUGUAGGCCAAAAUUCUCUAGAAUUUAUAAACUUGUUGUAAAUCCUUGCAAUAUUUUUUAAAAAAAACAUGUCAAAGUAUUUUAGAUUUUAAAAAAAAAUGCUUCAUUAACUUUAGUAUUUUUAGCCAUAUUCAAAAUAUACGCUUUUCCUUUAAAAAUAAAAAAUCAAAAAAAUAAAGUAAUAAUAGCAAUAAGACUAGUGAUUUGGAAAAAACAGGUCGAGUAGGAUUUCAAACAUAUAAAAAAAAUCAAGUUGUAAUUUUAGAUGGAAUUAAGAGCGUAAUUGUACCCAAGAUUAAAGAGACAAUGUGGAUUUAAAAUCAAAUUAAAUGAUUAUUGGAUAAAUUUGCAUAAAAAUUAAGCAUAGGGGCAUAAUUAGAUGUUUAAUAGGCCAAUUUGAUUUAAUCAUGGGUCCAAUUAAAAUUUUAAUUAUGUUUAAGAAUUAAUUUGGGUCAAAUUAAAUGAUUUAAUUAAGUGCAAAUACUUAAUUAUAAUUUAAAUGGAUCAAAUUAAUUUUAUUAGGGACUUAAUUGGUGAUAAAUAAAGUUUGAAAGCCUAAUUUGGGUUUAAUUGAGAAGAUUGAAAUUUUAAAGGACCAAACUUAAUUUUUACAAAGUUAAUUGGUUGGAAUCAGGGGUAAAAUUGCAAGAAAAUAAAAGUUUAGGGUCAAUUAGAGGUUAAAUUGAAGAAAUUUACAGCCAAAGAUCUUUUUGAAAAAAGACGUCAAACUCUAGGGACUCAGUUGAUUGAAAUCAGGGGUGAAAUUAAAGAGAAUUGAAAGUUUAAUAGUCAAUUUGCAUAAAUCCAAGACCAAGGAUCAAAAUGAAAAAAACAUUGAAAUUGAGGGUUGAUAUUGAAAUUUGGCAAGGGAGAAAUCACAUAAAAUUAGAAGUUUUAGGUCAAUUAAGAAUACAAUUGAAAUAGUCAAAAGCCUCAAAGACUAAAUUGAACUUUUAUCAAAUCUCUAAAUUAAAACCCUAAAGCCAAAAUGAAGGCAUUUUGAAAAAAAAAAAAAAUAAUAAACCAGAUGACGCGUUGUUUGGUUAUUGUUCAUCGCCCGUACCUUUUACUCGAAAUAGUUACUUGGGUGGCUACUUUUCAAGAGCAUUUAAUACUUCUUCUCCCUACUAAACCAGACAAAGCAUACACCGCCAUGGUGACUUUACAUUUUACUACAUCUAGAGCAGGUCUCGAUGACCAACGACCCUUAUGGCUACCACAACUCCGCCUUAAAAUGGCCAACCCGACUAGCUUUAAUGUCCUAUUUUUAUAGACCAUGAUGACACUUUUGAAUUAAUGGUUGAGAUCCUUUCCAGUUGAAUCAAGGGUCAAGAUUUGUCCCCAAUAAAAACAAAAUACUUCUCUUUCACCUUCUAUAAAUAAGUGUGGAUUCCGGGUAUUGAGCAUGGAAAAAUCAAGGAGCAAAGUGGGGAAAAAAUCAUUUUUUCUCUAUUAGCAUUAUUCUCUCUCUCUCUCUCUCUCUCUCUCAACCACUAUUUCAGCUUCAACAACCACCCAAGAAUCACCUAUACACCCUCACCAACACCAGUUCCUUCUCCAGCGAUUGUAAUUCGCAACCAUCGUGAAAGUGGCACCGUCACAAAUUUAUUCUUCCUUUAAAUGAUAAUUCAGUAACUACUACUAUCACUUAUAAUGACAACGACGACCACUACCUACAUUAAAAUUAGAAAAAAAGGUUGGAUGGUUAUUGAAAAAUUCUCUCAUUUAACUCUAUUAAAAGAGUAAUAUUGUGGAAAGUAUAAGUGAUAUUUAAAAACACUUGAGAAAGCUUCCUAAAGGUUACUUGAGUUGUUUAAUACUUGUCUAUUUAUAAGUAUUGUUGAGAAAAGUUCUAGUCUUUGACUUGUUAAAAAGAUUGUAUAAAUAUUUGAUUAUUAGCUUAUACAAAAAGAUUGAGUCUCAUCUUGAUCUCAUAAAAUAAUUGAGAUAGAUCAUGAACCUGGAAAAAGGUUGACAAAGGUUUUAAUCUUUGAUAUAAGAGAAAAGAUUGUGUAAGUGCUUGAUCUCACCCACUAAAAAAAAUGAGUGUAAUAGUAAAUACUUGAACAAAGACUCAAGAAAUGGAAUAAACAAGCCACUAUAAAAAUAUUGGUGCAACCGCUCUUAACUCAAUCUUCUCACUCAUUAAUUAUGUUGAUUGUUUUUGUACAUCUUUAAAUUUAUUAUAUUAUUGUUUGAGCUUAUUUGUAUUGCUCAUUAGAUAGUGCUAUAUAGUUGUUUUAAGUAAAGCAAAAUCAUUUUUAAUUAGCAAUCUAAUUCACCCCCUAUUAAAUAUAUAAUGUUUAUCAUUAUAUAUAUAUAUAUAUAUAUAUAUAUAUAUAUACUAUUUUAUUUUUUGUUGAAUUUUAAAUGAAAGCUGAAUAAUGAAUACUUAUACGGAUACUCAAAACUUGAUAGAUAGAGUAUAAAUAGAUAAAUUUAAUAGAUAAAAAGUAGGAUAUAAAUUUUAAAAAACCUAACUUAUGAAUACUGAAGUGGACAAUUAUCAACAUAUUAAUAUGGUUGAGAUAUAAACAAAAAUAAAAAAUAAAAAACGUGUUCUUGGCAGCUUGACCUAAUUCUGUAGUGUUGAAUAUAUUCUGAAUUGUGGAAUUUAGUAGCUAGUUAAAUAGGUCUUCCUGUGAAAAAUACAAUGCAUAAGCAAGUUGACUACAUGGGAAAGUAUACAGGGUCAGGAUCAUUUGUGGUUUUGUACAGGAUGAAAUGUAGCCGUUGAUGUGCAUAGACGACAGGCUCUCAUGGUAUAGACUUUUGACUUUGCUAAGAAGUCCUCUCCUGUAGCACAACAAGGAAUAUUAAAAUCAUUUUUGAAGGAUUCAUGAGAUAACAAAGAUGAAGGGCAAAUGCGAAAAUUAUCUUUAAAGAGUCAUCCAAAUGGGAAAGCUCAUUUAUUUCCUUUAGAACGUAAUCCCUCCGUUAAGUGUACUCGUCAAUAAAGUGUUGAACUGUUGCCGAUGAAGUUAUUUUUCUAUCCCAAAAUACCCUUUUGACUAUAUAUUAAAUUAAAGAAAUCCAGGGGUAUAAGGUUAUUUUCUUAAAAGCUAGCAAAGCUUCUUAAGGUAUUAGCCAUCCCCAUCAUAGAGACUCCAAGGACCGGAUUAUGAUUUCUUAAACUAAAGGGACUAGGCUGCUAUAUCACUAAAAACACAGGGACUAGAUUAUUAUUUAUUCAUAAUAUUAAAGAAUUGAAGAAUUUAAUACAGGCGAGAUUCUACUUCUUAGUUUUGUCCUACUUUGGAUUAGGGGAUCCCUUUAAAGCUGCUUUUAUACACACACACACACACACAUAAGAAAAAAAAAAUUAGAAGUGUUAUGAUUUCAGAAGUUUUAUCUGCUGCUACUUGGAAUUUGUUAUAUGUCACGAACUGAAAAAUAAAUUUCUUACGAUUUGAUUUAAGAUCUAAGUUAUGAGUUAUCCCAUCUCUAGAACGAGCUAUAACAAUGAUGUGGGAUGCGGUGGCUCUGGUGAAAAAAGUGGGGCAGCCAUACACCUUAUUUCCAAGAAGGUGGAGGAAAAUCGUUCACUGCCUUGUGAGAACUUUCAACGCAACCUGUCCUAAUCACAAAAAGUCGGUUCCGUAAGCGUGUUGAACUUUCCCUUCUCUUCAUUACUUUCCUCUGAGCCAAGCUUAGCCCAAUGAAAGGAAGAAAGAUUGCUAAUUGGACUUCAAACUCCUCCUCCUUCUUGUUGUUAAAUAAAUUUUAUCUUCUUCAAUGUCUGUGAUAAAAUUACUUGUGCAUUUAUCUUCUUUCUUGGUCGCUCAUUUAUUCAUAUCAGGUAAAGUCGACAAAUCUAUUUCUGUUUCCAGCUCUGAUUCUUCAACUUAUUUUAUUAAUUGAGUUUUUUUAUGCUAUGUUAUUGCUAGCAGGUGUUGUUUCAACAACAUUUACAAUAACAAACAAGUGUAACUACACAGUUUGGCCAGGCAUUUCCUCGCAAUCAGGCUCAGCAGCUCUCUCCACAACUGGUUUUUCCCUUGAAAAGAAUGAGUCAAAGACCUUAACAGCACCAGCUUCUUGGAAUGGGCGGUUUUGGGGCCGCACGUACUGCACCGAAGACUCGUCAGGAAAUUUCUCCUGCAUCUCUGGCGAUUGUGGCUCCGGCAAACUAGAAUGUUCAGGCAACGGUGGUGCUCUUCCUGUAACGUUGGCAGAGUUUGCGCUUCGUGGUUUUAAUGGCCUUGAUUUUUUUGAUGUUAGUCUUGUUGAUGGCUUCAACCUGCCUUUGCUUGUUGUGCCUUCUCGUCAGAACUGUACAAGCUCUAGAUGUGAAGUGGAUUUGAACGAAUCGUGUCCGUCAGAGCUUAGGGUUACCACUAGUACAGAAGGCAAAACUGUGGGAUGCAUGAGCGCGUGCCAAGUGACUGGGUUGUCGAUGUUUUGUUGUAAUGGUACUGCUAAAUGCAAGGCUUCUUUGUAUUCUCAAUUCUUCAAGAAUGCCUGUCCACAAGCUUACAGCUACGCUUUGGAUGAUGUUAGUAGUAGCUUCACUUGUGCAUCAACCGAUUAUCAAGUUACAUUCUGCCCAGGUAAAUAUGCCAUUCUCCAAUUUGUGUAGUUUUAUGAGUUUGGUAUUUUAUUUUUUUUAAUCAUUUCAACAUUUAGAGGUAGUUUUGUGCAUCUGAAAGUCAGGCAAAGAGUUCACAAACUAUGAAGCUUAAGCUACCAAAAAACAGAGUGUAGACUGCAGAUACUGCAAGAAAUUACAUCAUAACAAUGAAUAGCUGUUUGGUAUUUUAGCCAUUCUAACAUGUAUUUUUGGAACUUGGUAUCCAUAUAAGAGUAAGGCUAUACAAAAACAAAAGUGCAGAGCCAUGCCAGUGAUGUGAAUGAGAUCAUACUUUCCUUCUAUCACUGCCUUUCACAUAAAUCCAUCAUCUUUUUGGUUCCAUAAUGAAUCUACUUCAAAAUCAUUUUGUUUGGCAGGCAACACAACAGUUAUUACAAAAAACAAUUCUCGUCCAUCGCCAGGGGAGAUAGCACCAAUUCCUCCACCAGAAAUAAGGCCUGAUACCACUUCAAGAAGACAUUGGGUGCCAAUUAUAGCAGGAAUUGUGGGUGGUGUUCUUGCCAUCAUUUCUUUUGUAGUUAUUAUUGUUUGGAGGGUUAGGUUGAGCAAGUCUAAUGAUACUGAGGAGGAUGUGGAAGAUGAUUAUGUAAAGCUAGUUCCAGGAAUGCCUGUCAGGUUUUCGUAUGAAGAUCUACGCGUUGCAACCAAUGAUUUCAAGGAAACACUAGGAAGAGGAGGCUUCGGGUCUGUAUUCAAAGGAGUACUUCCAGAUAGAACAGGAAUUGCUGUGAAGCGUUUGGAUAAAUUAGGCCAAGGAAAGAGGGCGUUUUUAGCAGAAGUUGAGACGAUUGGAAGUGUGCACCAUUUUAACUUGGUGAGGUUGAUAGGAUUUUGUGCAGAGAAAUCAUAUAGGCUUUUAGUAUAUGAGUACAUGAGUAACAGCUCAUUGGACAAUUGGAUUUUUAAGAAAAUACAAGGAUCUUCCCUAGAUUGGCAGACACGAAAGAGGAUUAUACUUGACAUAGCGAAAGGGCUGACUUAUCUUCAUGAAGAAUGCCGGCAGACCAUAAUGCACCUGGAUAUAAAGCCGCAGAACAUACUCUUAGAUCCAAAUUUCAAUGCCAAAAUCUCUGACUUCGGGCUAUCUAAGCUGAUUGAUAGGGAGAUGAGCCAAGUCCAACUCUCAAUGAGAGGAACCCCUGGAUAUCUUGCUCCAGAAUGGCAUCGAGCAUUAGGUCGCAUCACAGUAAAAGUUGACGUAUACAGCUUUGGAAUUGUUCUACUGGAAGUAGUUUGUGCACGCAGAAGCGUUGAUCACUCGCAACCAGAGUCUGCCUUCCAUUUGCUUAGAAUGUUGCAGAACAAAGCUGAAUACAUUUUGGAAUUUUUAGACGAAUAUAUGCAGAGUGAUAGAGAUGAAAUAAUCAGGAUGAUAAAGAUUGCUGCUUGGUGUUUGCAAGAUGAUCCAGAAAAAAGACCUCUCAUGUCAACAGUUGUAAAGGUGUUGGAGGGUGUAAUGGAGGUAGAUUCAAACCUGGUGUAUAAGUUUUUACAUGCACUGGCACCACCUCCUGUUGCUGAUGACUAUAUUCUUUCAGCACCGCCACCAGCAUCAGUUCUUUCUAAUCCUAGAUGACGUUGCAAGGAUCUUUCAUUUUUGCUAGCGAAAAAAAUUAUCAAACUUGUCAUCCCUUAAACUACUCUGGUCUCUACCAUGUCAUUUUAACCAGCGCGUAUGUUGUUUUGAGUGACUGAUUUUUGUAGUAACUUUCAUAAAUUAAGAUUUGAGGAGUUGUUUGAA
Molecule: long non-coding RNA, 17237 nt
Filed under: Populus tremula
Lineage: Eukaryota; Viridiplantae; Streptophyta; Magnoliopsida; Malpighiales; Salicaceae
Description: long non-coding RNA (PTRE_LNC002092)
Source: RNAcentral